AAUAGAUACCCCGGUAGUCCACGCCGUAAACGAUGAGUGCUAAGUGUUAGAGGGUUUCCGCCCUUUAGUGCUGAAGUUAACGCAUUAAGCACUCCGCCUGGGGAGUACGGCCGCAAGGCUGAAACUCAAAGGAAUUGACGGGGGCCCGCACAAGCGGUGGAGCAUGUGGUUUAAUUCGAAGCAACGCGAAGAACCUUACCAGGUCUUGACAUCCUCUGACAACCCUAGAGAUAGGGCUUCUCCUUCGGGAGCAGAGUGACAGGUGGUGCAUGGUUGUCGUCAGCUCGUGUCGUGAGAUGUUGGGUUAAGUCCCGCAACGAGCGCAACCCUUGAUCUUAGUUGCCAUCAUUCAGUUGGGCACUCUAAGGUGACUGCCGGUGACAAACCGGAGGAAGGUGGGGAUGACGUCAAAUCAUCAUGCCCCUUAUGACCUGGGCUACACACGUGCUACAAUGGACGGUACAAAGAGCUGCAAGACCGCGAGGUGGAGCUAAUCUCAUAAAAACCGUUCUCAGUUCGGA
RNAcentral lists this ribosomal RNA (521 nucleotides) under uncultured bacterium. RNAcentral's name for it is "bacterial SSU rRNA". It matches the Rfam family "Bacterial small subunit ribosomal RNA", at positions 777 to 1297 of the family's 1533-position model. The record is from RNAcentral.